UACAUGAGUGGCGAGCGUUAUCCGUAAUUAUUGGGCGUAAAGGAUGCGUAGACGGUAAAAGAAGUUGUAAUCUACUAUAACAGAUAACUGGGUUGAUUUACAAAACCUUUUUACUAGAGUUUUUUUUAAGUGUAUAACAUCUGCAAACUAGCGAUAAAAUGCUUUGAGUCUGUAGGUAUUUUCAAAUACGGAAGUAAUAUGCUGAAAAAAACUGACGUUGAGGCAUUAAAGUAUGGUUAUCAAAUAGG
Molecule: ribosomal RNA, 248 nt
Filed under: uncultured bacterium
Lineage: Bacteria
Description: partial 16S ribosomal RNA
Rfam family: Bacterial small subunit ribosomal RNA
Source: RNAcentral